Molecule: ribosomal RNA, 1134 nt
Filed under: Marinobacter persicus
Lineage: Bacteria; Pseudomonadati; Pseudomonadota; Gammaproteobacteria; Pseudomonadales; Marinobacteraceae
Description: Marinobacter sp. M9B(2010) Bacterial large subunit ribosomal RNA
Rfam family: Bacterial large subunit ribosomal RNA
Source: Rfam by way of RNAcentral
CAUAGGUGUAGGAGGCGAACCGGGGGAACUGAAACAUCUAAGUACCCCGAGGAAAAGAAAUCAACCGAGAUUCCCUCAGUAGCGGCGAGCGAACGGGGACCAGCCCUUAAGCUGAACAACUGGUAGGAGAAGGCUCUGGAAAGUGCCGCCAUAGUGGGUGAUAGCCCCGUAUCCGAAACCUGAGUUCAGUGAAAUCGAGUAGGUCGGCGCACGAGAAACGUUGACUGAACAUGGGGGGACCAUCCUCCAAGGCUAAAUACUCCUGACUGACCGAUAGUGAACCAGUACCGUGAGGGAAAGGCGAAAAGAACCCCUGUGAGGGGAGUGAAAUAGACCCUGAAACCGUAUGCGUACAAGCAGUCGGAGCGGAUUUAUUCCGUGACGGCGUACCUUUUGUAUAAUGGGUCAGCGACUUAUGUUUAGUGGCGAGGUUAACCGUUUAGGGGAGCCGUAGGGAAACCGAGUCUGAAUAGGGCGAAUCAGUCGCUAGGCAUAGACCCGAAACCGGGCGAUCUAUCCAUGAGCAGGUUGAAGGUUGAGUAACAUCAACUGGAGGACCGAACCCACUGUCGUUGAAAAGCCAGGGGAUGACUUGUGGAUCGGAGUGAAAGGCUAAUCAAGCCCGGAGAUAGCUGGUUCUCCCCGAAAGCUAUUUAGGUAGCGCCUCGGACGAAUACCACAGGGGGUAGAGCACUGUUUCGGCUAGGGGGUCAUCUCGACUUACCAACCCGAUGCAAACUCCGAAUACCUGUGAGUACUAUCCGGGAGACACACGGCGGGUGCUAACGUCCGUCGUGAAGAGGGAAACAACCCAGACCGCCAGCUAAGGUCCCCAAGUACCAGUUAAGUGGGAAACGAUGUGGGAAGGCUCAGACAGCUAGGAGGUUGGCUUAGAAGCAGCCAUCCUUUAAAGAAAGCGUAAUAGCUCACUAGUCGAGUCGGCCUGCGCGGAAGAUGUAACGGGGCUCAAACUGGUCACCGAAGCUGCGGCUGCAUACUCUGUAUGCGGGGUAGGGGAGCGUUCUGUAAGCCUGCGAAGGUGAGUUGAGAAGCUUGCUGGAGGUAUCAGAAGUGCGAAUGCUGACAUGAGUAACGAUAAUGGGAGUGAAAAACUCCCACGCCGGAAGACCAAGG